GCCAUCCUAGCUCAGCUGAUAGAGCAUUCGAUUCGUAAUCGAAAGGUCGUGGGUUUGAAUCCCAUGGAUGGCUCCA
This 76-nucleotide transfer RNA is filed under the name Ramlibacter sp. Its description in RNAcentral is "tRNA-Thr". It matches the Rfam family "tRNA". Rfam says of the family: Transfer RNA (tRNA) molecules are approximately 80 nucleotides in length. Their secondary structure includes four short double-helical elements and three loops (D, anti-codon, and T loops). Further hydrogen bonds mediate the characteristic L-shaped molecular structure. tRNAs have two regions of fundamental functional importance: the anti-codon, which is responsible for specific mRNA codon recognition, and the 3' end, to which the tRNAs corresponding amino acid is attached (by aminoacyl-tRNA synthetases). tRNAs cope with the degeneracy of the genetic code in two manners: having more than one tRNA (with a specific anti-codon) for a particular amino acid; and 'wobble' base-pairing, i.e. permitting non-standard base-pairing at the 3rd anti-codon position. RNAcentral also lists the same sequence under 4 other names. Lineage: Bacteria; Pseudomonadati; Pseudomonadota; Betaproteobacteria; Burkholderiales; Comamonadaceae. The record is from RNAcentral.